This 289-nucleotide ribosomal RNA is filed under the name uncultured Thermovirga sp. RNAcentral's name for it is "partial 16S ribosomal RNA". It matches the Rfam family "Bacterial small subunit ribosomal RNA", at positions 1096 to 1382 of the family's 1533-position model. Lineage: Bacteria; Thermotogati; Synergistota; Synergistia; Synergistales; Thermovirgaceae. The record is from RNAcentral.
GCGCAACCCCUGCAUCCAGUUGCCAUCGGGCGAGCCGGGCACGUCUGGAGGGACUGCCGGCGACAAGCCGGAGGAAGGUGGGGAUGACGUCAAGUCAUCAUGGCCCUUAUGUCCAGGGCGACACACGUGCUACAAUGGCCGGCACAGCGGGAAGCGGAGGGGCGACCCUGAGCGGAUCCCUUGAAAGCCGGUCCCAGUUCGGAUUGCAGUCUGCAACUCGACUGCAUGAAGUUGGAAUCGCUAGUAAUCGCGGAUCAGCCAAGCCGCGGUGAAUACGUUCCCGGGCCUU